UGCUGUGUAUAUAUAUAUAUAUAUAUAUAUAUAUAUAUAUAUAUAUAUAUAUAUUAAUCAUCAUCUCUGGACAGACGCUAAACCCGGGAAUUUGUUUGUUUUAAGAUGUCUAAACAGGCUUAAAAUUAAGAGACCUCUUUGUAAAGCUGCUUUGGAGUAAUAUGCAUUUAUGUAAGAACAAAAAAACGUUCAUCGUUUUUUAAUUUCACAUAUUCUAGAUCUUUGUUCCUCAGCUCUAAGUGUUCUUUCAUGAUUCAAAUCCCCUCAGUUCACUAAUGCAUUACGUUUUACAUCCCUCCAGCUUGACAUGGAGCAGAGCGGAACCACGGUGGUCUUAGAAACACAAGCUAACAGUGAACUGGGUUUCCUCCACAUGUAUUGACUUAAGCUUAUGAGACAUUACUGGACUUCAAUCCAUCCACUGACAUAAAAACCCACCGCAGGAUCCUGAGAGAAAUGGGAUACUCUAAACAGACAUUCAUCUAACACACUGCGCUAACACAAAUCUCUCUCCCUCCUCAUUCAAGCUUACAGACACAUACACACAGAGGUACAAAGGUCUCUUUCUGUAACGGGCCGAGAGCUGAAAUUUGAUGUUUAAUAACUGGGAUAUUUUUUAAUGCUUUCUGUGCUGACGGUGCAGUGGAUUUUUGAGGCAGGAUAAUGACGGGACUAAAACACUACCUGUGGAUUCCUGAGGUAUUGAGUUCUAAAGCGCCGCUACAAGAGAAUAAAGAAGGUCACCCACAUUUGGAUCAACAUGAAGGAAAAAAAGAGGCAUAGCAUCCUGCUGUUUGGAUACAAACAGGAGAAAGAAGGAGAGGACACAGGAGAAAGUUCUGGAAAGACAGCAUGGUAGUUUGGUGCCAGAACAGAUAGCGUUCCGGAUGCCGCUCUACCUGGGAAAGUGACUGAAGUGGAGCAACCCUAGAAAAAUAAGGGGGGUAAAUUAGGACGAUAAUUAAAACAGAGUGCUGACAGAAGGAGAGAUGUUCAGCCAAGAGUCUGGCACAACAAACACUCAGUGCCCUGAGACGUCGGGCCAGUCUACCGACCGGAAGACAUCAGAAAACCACUAACGCUAUACUUGCGGAGCAAAUAAAAUGCUGCAGACAUGACAUUUCUGAUGUCUGUUAAGACCUCCAGAUAUUUACAGAAAAGGCAUGUCCUUCAACAGGAAUUGCAAGAGCAUGUAGCAAUUGUGUGUUUGAAUUUUAAUUUCUGAGACCAUUUAAACAUCUAAAUACAUUUAGAAAGGUUGUAUUUUCCUAGACAUUUUGAUUUUAAUAUUAAAUGCAGACCCGGGGAAGUUUACCCUGCAUCAAGUGUAAUAGGAAAUGCAGACACCACAGAAUAUUAUAUUGAGAACGUCAUUCUGACAGCAACCCCAGCAGCAAAGAUACAUAUGCAUUUAGUAUUUUCAGCAAA
Long non-coding RNA from Cyprinus carpio carpio, 1428 nucleotides. NCBI's taxonomy places the organism in Eukaryota, Metazoa, Chordata, Actinopteri, Cypriniformes, Cyprinidae. The record is from Ensembl.